CCUACGGGGGGCUGCAGUGAGGAAUAUUGGUCAAUGGGCGAGAGCCUGAACCAGCCAAGUCGCGUGAGGGAGUACUGCCCUAUGGGUUGUAAACCUCUUUUGUCGGGGAGCAAAAGCCGGACGUGUCCGGCUGUGAGAGUACCCGAAGAAAAAGCAUCGGCUAACUCCGUGCCAGCAGCCGCGGUAAUACGGAGGAUGCGAGCGGUAUCCGGAUUUAUUGGGGUUAAAGGGUGCGCAGGCGGAUUUUUAAGUCAGCGGUCAAAUCGUGGGGCUCAACCCCAUCCAGCCGUUGAAACUGGGGAUCUAGAGUGUGCGAGAGGUAUGCGGAAUGCGUGGUGUAGCGGUGAAAUGCAUAGAUAUCACGCAGAACCCCGAUUGCGAAGGCAGCAUACCGGUGCACAACUGACGCUCAGGCACGAAAGCGUGGGUAUCGAACAGGAUUAGAUACCCUAGUAGUC
RNAcentral lists this ribosomal RNA (458 nucleotides) under uncultured bacterium. RNAcentral describes it as "partial 16S ribosomal RNA". It matches the Rfam family "Bacterial small subunit ribosomal RNA", at positions 338 to 795 of the family's 1533-position model. The record is from RNAcentral.